Molecule: ribosomal RNA, 242 nt
Filed under: uncultured bacterium
Lineage: Bacteria
Description: partial 16S ribosomal RNA
Rfam family: Bacterial small subunit ribosomal RNA
Source: RNAcentral
GUCAUGGCUCAGGAUGAACGCUAGCGGCAGGCUUAACACAUGCAAGUCGAGGGGCAGCGGGGUGUAGCAAUACACUGCCGGCGACCGGCGCACGGGUGCGUAACGCGUAUGCAACCUACCCAUAACAGGGGCAUAACACUGAGAAAUUGGUACUAAUUCCCCAUAACAUUCGAAGAGGCAUCUCUUUGGGUUGAAAACUCCGGUGGUUAUGGAUGGGCAUGCGUUGUAUUAGCUAGUUGGUG